Molecule: non-coding RNA, 724 nt
Organism: Taeniopygia guttata (zebra finch)
Lineage: Eukaryota; Metazoa; Chordata; Aves; Passeriformes; Estrildidae
Source: RefSeq, a predicted model, not a curated record
AAGAAGUGAAAACGGGGGAAAAGGAAAAAAGGGAAGGGAAAGCGGGGGUAAGAAAGAGGAAAAGAAAAAGUGGGGGGAGCGGGCACACAGCAUCCGCUUUUGCAGCAUUCCACGAGUGACAAUCUCGCAUUUACAGAAAACCCUGUCCCUGGCAGCGUGUCGCCGCCGCGGUUAUCCGGCGGGUGUUGCAUCACUCGGCUCCCGGCGGGGAUGGAACACGAAACCGCUCCCUCAGUCUUCUGUGUGAAAUCGACUCUUGUGGCAACUCCCCAUCGACCGAAACAGCCCGGGGGUGCCUCCUCUCCUUUUUCCAGCAAAGAUUUUAUCUCCAAAAUGCUCCGUUGUCGACACAGCCUUGGGGAUUUUGCUAUUAAGUCAGUGACAAUUCUUAUACCUGAAGCCAAGCAAGCAGGACAGCUCACAACAAGCCCCAGCAGCCAGGAGCUGAUCAUAGAAAGGGUACAGUGGAGCAUGGGGGUGUCUGGCACCUGGCCAUUUCAUGAGGCUAAAUAGAAGAAAUCAGCACAAAUCAGAAGAAACCUCCCAAAAGAAGUCAACCCAGCCCUGUAAAGGAAAGGUGCUGCCAGGGCACACCAGGACUCAGAACAACAUCCUGGUACCCGAUGGCCUAAAGCUGAAAUGAGCACAGCUGGGCAGCAGCUGCCAGGAGCCUCAGCCCCUACGGGAACUGGCCUGGAAAUGAAAGGAAAUACCCGGGGACAAU